GAUGAACGCUAGCGGCAGGCCUAAUACAUGCAAGUCGAGGGGCAGCGCGGUAGCAAUACUGGCGGCGACCGGCGCACGGGUGCGUAACACGUAUGCAACCUACCUUCAACUGGAGGAUAGCCCGGGGAAACUCGGGAUUAAAUACUCCAUAACACAGGGAUCCCGCAUGGGAAUAUUGUUAAAGCUACGGCGGUUGAAGAUGGGCAUGCGUUCGAUUAGCUAGUUGGUGUAGGUAACGGCUCACCAAGGCUACGAUCGAUAGGGGGUCUGAGAGGAUGAUCCCCCACACUGGUACUGAGAUACGGACCAGACUCCUACGGGAGCAGCAGUAGGGAAUAUUGGUCAAUGGGCGCAAGCCUGAACCAGCCAUGCCGCGUGCAGGAAGAAGGCCCUCUGGGUUGUAAACUGCUUUUGAUAGGGAACAAAUGCCACUUGCGAGUGGAGCUGAGUGUACCUAUAGAAUAAGC
This 467-nucleotide ribosomal RNA is filed under the name uncultured bacterium. RNAcentral describes it as "bacterial SSU rRNA". It matches the Rfam family "Bacterial small subunit ribosomal RNA", at positions 28 to 491 of the family's 1533-position model. The record is from RNAcentral.